This 93-nucleotide transfer RNA is filed under the name Wallemia mellicola CBS 633.66. Its description in RNAcentral is "tRNA-Ala". It matches the Rfam family "tRNA". Rfam says of the family: Transfer RNA (tRNA) molecules are approximately 80 nucleotides in length. Lineage: Eukaryota; Fungi; Basidiomycota; Wallemiomycetes; Wallemiales; Wallemiaceae. The record is from RNAcentral. RNAcentral also lists the same sequence under 1 other name.
GGGCAUAUGGUGUAGGGGUUAUCACGCAUUCUUAGCAUUUCUGAAGAAUUCGCAAUCUGGAUGAGGUCCCCGGUUCAAUUCCGGGUAUGUCCA